Nematostella vectensis (starlet sea anemone) is the source of this 618-nucleotide long non-coding RNA. RefSeq lists it as uncharacterized. NCBI's taxonomy places the organism in Eukaryota, Metazoa, Cnidaria, Anthozoa, Actiniaria, Edwardsiidae. The record is from RefSeq and is a predicted model, not a curated record. The transcript is spliced from 2 exons.
GUAAGCAUUUUGGGCUUGGGCUCUAGCUUGCGUUAGUCCGCUCAAAGUAAGCAUUUUGGGCUCUAGAUAGCGUCAAUCCGCUCAAGGUAAGCAUUUUGGGCUCUAGAUAGCGUUAGGCUGCUCAAGGUAAGCAUUUUGGGCUCUAGAGGCCGCUCAAGGUAAGCAUUUUGGGCUCUAGAUAGCGUUAGGCCACUCAAGGUAAGAAUUUUAGUUUAGUCUGCCCUGAAAAGGUCUUAUUAAAGACGAAAAUUUGUCAAAGUCGAAUACCAGUUUUUGGGGCAUUGUAUUUAUUCUUCUGGUUUACGAUCACGACUAUUUGGGCCUUGAUGACAUUUCACAAUAUCCAUCUAAAAACAAAGUUUUAUGCUUCAGUCGCCAAAUCCAAACAGCAACACCUCAAAAGGUUCUGCUUAUCAGUCGAUGGAAAUGGAUCCUCUCUCACGCUUAUGAUUCUAAUUCGUUUAUCGUCGAUAACGUGGGGAGUUUCCCAAUCUCCCGAGCUCGGAGAGCUCAUGAUAUAUACACUCAACAUUCCGAUUUAUCUUCGUCUGUGUGUAUGCUAACUAUUUGGGCGCUAGUGAAAAUAAAAACUGUGACGAAGCCAGUACCCUAAGAAUC